Molecule: long non-coding RNA, 558 nt
Filed under: Homo sapiens (human)
Lineage: Eukaryota; Metazoa; Chordata; Mammalia; Primates; Hominidae
Description: non-protein coding LINC01798:21
Source: RNAcentral
AGAUGAAGCUAGCCUUCUCAGCUAGCCUUCAGAUUUGUCUGCUAACAGUAAAAAUACUAUAAUAAAUCGGUAACAUAUGUUGCCAGGCAAGGAAAAGUGAUAUAAAUAAAGAGACUGGGAGACCCAAACCAAGUACAAUAUUGCAUUCUUACCCAAAUACUCUUCGUGAUUGCCUGCUUUGCGGCUUUGGGAUUCUUCAGGGAGUAGAGAACAUUCACACGGGUUGACAUCCCAGUUUUCUCAGCAUAUUUCUGAACCAACUUACGGAUACAUGAAGAAGUCAGACAAGGCCGGGUGCGGUGGCUCACGCCUGUAAUUCCAGCACUUUGGGAGGCCGAGAUGGAGGAGGGAGGGGAAGAGAACUGGCAGAAUUAUCACUAGGCACUGCAAAACCUUCCAUUGAAAUCCACGUUUACCAUGGUGACGUUUGCUAGUUACGGCAGAGCUGAUCAACUGCAGAUUUUCCUGCUGCUGAGGCUAAAUUGCAAGCUGCUCAUAAUGCCAUCAGAUGCUGCUGGGUUUCCAGCCAAUGAGAACUUUGGGAAUACUUUCCUCCCU